AUUGCCUCAGUAACGGCGAGUGAAGCGGCAACAGCUCAAAUUUGAAAUCUGGCCCCCAGGCCCGAGUUGUAAUUUGUAGAGGAUGAUUCUGGCGACGCGCCUUCCGAGUUCCCUGGAACGGGACGCCAUAGAGGGUGAGAGCCCCGUCCGGUCGUGCGCCUAGCCUCUGUGAAUCUCCUUCGACGAGUCGAGUAGUUUGGGAAUGCUGCUCUAAAUGGGAGGUAUACGUCUUCUAAAGCUAAAUACCGGCCAGAGACCGAUAGCGCACAAGUAGAGUGAUCGAAAGAUGAAAAGCACUUUGAAAAGAGGGUUAAAAAGUACGUGAAAUUGCUGAAAGGGAAGCGCUUAUGACCAGACUUGGGCGUGGUGAAUCAUCCGGCGUUCUCGCCGGUGCACUUUGCCUGUCCAGGCCAGCAUCAGUUCUCCCCGGGGGAUAAAGGCUUCGGGAAUGUAGCUCCUUCGGGAGUGUUAUAGACCGUUGCGUAAUACCCUGGGGGGGACUGAGGUACGCGUUCUGCAAGGAUGCUGGCGUAAUGGUCAUCAGUGACCCGUCUUGAAACACGGACCAAGGAGUCGUCUUCGUAUGCGAGUGUUCGGGUGUCAAACCCCUACGCGUAAUGAAAGUGAACGUAGGAGAGAGCUUCGGCGCAUCUCCGACCGAUCCUGAUGUUCUCGGAUGGAUUUGAGUAAGAGCAUACGGGGCCGGACCCGAAAGAAGGUGAACUAUGCCUGUAUAGGGUGAAGCCAGAGGAAACUCUGGUGGAGGCUCGCAGCGGUUCUGACGUGCAAAUCGAUCGUCAAAUAUGGGCAUGGGGCGAAAGACUAAUCGAACCUUCUAGUAGCU
This 844-nucleotide ribosomal RNA is filed under the name Geosmithia lavendula. RNAcentral describes it as "LSU rRNA". It matches the Rfam family "Eukaryotic large subunit ribosomal RNA", at positions 74 to 952 of the family's 3401-position model. The record is from RNAcentral. Lineage: Eukaryota; Fungi; Ascomycota; Sordariomycetes; Hypocreales; Bionectriaceae.